GUAGUCCACGCCCUAAACGAUGAAUACUAGACGUUGGAUGUAAAAAUUCAGUGUCGCAGCUAACGCAUUAAGUAUUCCACCUGGGGAGUACGAUCGCAAGGUUGAAACUCAAAGGAAUUGACGGGGGCCCGCACAAGCAGUGGAGCAUGUGGUUCAAUUCGAUGCAACGCGAAGAACCUUACCUGGGCUUGAAACGCAGAUUAAGGGGAAUGAAAGUUCCCGUGCCGCAAGGCGAAUCUGUACAGGUGCUGCAUGGCUGUCGUCAGCUCGUGCCGUGAGGUGUUGGGUUAAGUCCCGCAACGAGCGCAACCCUUGUUUCUAGUUGCUACCGGAUAAUGCCGGGCACUCUAGAAAGACUGCCUACGCAAGUAGUGA
This 375-nucleotide ribosomal RNA is filed under the name uncultured bacterium. Its description in RNAcentral is "bacterial SSU rRNA". It matches the Rfam family "Bacterial small subunit ribosomal RNA", at positions 790 to 1167 of the family's 1533-position model. The record is from RNAcentral.